ACUAAAACCAGAGCGAGAAAAACCAUUUGCAAAAUUUGAAGAGAGAGAGAGUAUCUAGAGAGAGAGAGAGAGAGAGUCAGCAUCUUCUUCCUUGAGGAUCUUUUUCUUCACGAGGCAUCUAGCAUUUCAUUUUGAGGUCUGUGUUUGCGGCUCCAAGGGUCCUAGUCUUCUACGUUUGUGCGAGAGAGUGGAAGUGGAUUUCUGAGUCACGGUUGAAGUCGUGGGUAUCUCUAAGGUUUGCAUUCGCGUUGGAUGGUGAUGAUGUGAUUCGGUUCUUCAAAACCCAGUAUCCCAAACAUGUUUGGUGAGAUUCUUGAAACAUUUCUUCAUUUUCACCUCAGAUUUAUUCAGAACCCAUUGAAGCUGACUGACCCAUCGCCUCCAUUUUUUCCUCAGAUUAGCGUCCUUGAAAUGAAAAACUACCAGAGAGAGAAAAAUGUUUUGUGAAAUCUGAAGAGAGAGAGAGAGAGAGAGAGAGAGAGAGAGAGAGAGUAAAAUCCGCAGAGAGAGGUCUGCACCUUUUUCGUUGGGGAUCUUCUUCUUCACGAGGCAUCUAGCAUUUCAGCUUGAAAAACCAGAGAGAGUAAAAGUUACGAUCACAGAAGAGAGAGAGUCCGCGUCUUUCUCUAUGAGCUGAGUAAAAGCUAGAGAGUAAAACCCAGUUUGUGAAAUCUGAAGAGAGAGGCAUCUAGCAUUCUCUUUGAGCUGAGUAAAAAUUAGAGAGUAAAACCCAGUUGUGAAAUCUGAAGAGAGAGAGAGAGUCUGCGUCCUCUUCGUCGUGCGUGUAGCUUCCCCGGUGCUUCUCUAGAAUUCCACCAUCCAUGGGGUAUACAAUCGUAUAUAAAAUCCUCAGGCAUGCGUAUUGGGGACAAAAGAAGACUCACAAUUCCACCAUCUAUGGGCUAUGGAUCUGAACGUGUUGGGAAGAUACCGCCAAAUUCAUGGCUUGUGUUUGAUGUAGAGUUGGUCGAUGUUCGUUGAUCACACCGCAUUCAUGUUUUCCCUUAGUUUUGGAGGUUUUCACUUGCUGCAAAAAGAUGUGAAGAAGUGUUUCAUCGUUAAUGAUUGGGUCUUUGAGAAAAAGGAAAGCUUUGUCCAGGAUUGUAAAUUUUGCAUCCAUCACAUGGGGAACUGAUUGAGAAAUUUUUUUUGUAAAAUUUCUAGUGUUUUGAAGAAUUUAGAUACUUAUAGUGAGUUAUGAAGGUUAAUAUUUCCUAAAUACAUUGUGCUAGGAUUUGGCCAUUUAUAACUCAAGGCUGGAGAAAAAUAGUUUCUGGUUUGCACUAGCAUGCAAGAUUGGGCAUUGUUGUCGACAUAUGGGGUGUAGAAUUGAACUAUGGGAUUCAUGAAAUUAAAUUGGAAACAAGAACUUUGAAGGAAUGUUUUAAUUAAUUGUUGUAACAAGCUGAAAGCCAUAAACUUGUUACAAGUUUCUAGCGGAGGGAAUGUACUGGAUGAGAUAUUGAAGCUCACUCUUAAGAUUCAACGAUAUAAUUAUUCAUGCUUUUAUCGUAUAUACUUAAUUUUUUUUAUUA
Long non-coding RNA from Carya illinoinensis, 1535 nucleotides. RefSeq lists it as uncharacterized. NCBI's taxonomy places the organism in Eukaryota, Viridiplantae, Streptophyta, Magnoliopsida, Fagales, Juglandaceae. The transcript has 2 exons. The record is from RefSeq and is a predicted model, not a curated record.